GAUCAGCAUCAGAACAACAUGAAGAACCCAUCUGUUCUGUGGGGUGUCUGUGUCCUGCUGCUGUCUGGACUGACUGUUUCUUCAGGUGAAAUGAUGAAUUCAACCAAUCAGACUCAAUAACAGUUGGACAUUUGGUCCAUGUGUCUUUAACCUGUUGAAUGUGUUGACUCUGUCCAGUCUCUGUGGACGUCUUUCCAAACGUUCAGCAGUUCUUCAGAGGAGACAGUUUGUCUGUGAGUUGUGCAGAUGUUCAGACAGAUGGAUGGACAGUGAAGAGGACACUGAGGAACGGAAACACUGAGACGUGCAGAGUUUGGAAGGAUAGACGGGUCAUUCUGCGGCGUCGGUCCUCUCACGUCAGGGUCCAGUGGAGUUUACUGGUGUGAGACCAGUUCAGGACAGCAGAGUGACCAGGUGUCCAUCACUGUAACAGAUUUUUCUGUAAUCUUGGACAUCCCUGCACUUCCUGUGGAGACAGGAAGUGAUGUCACUCUGCGCUGUGUAGUCAUAGAUGGUUCAACACGGAAAGCCGAGUUUAAAAAAAACAGUUCGACACUCUCAUCUGUCCCAGUAGAAGAGUGGACCAUCUCUGUAGACCACCUGUCUGAUGCAGACCAGUACUCCUGUUAUGUUCCAGAUCUUGGUGAAUCUCCAUCGAGCAGCCUGAGGGUCAAAGAUCCUGGUUCUUCAGGUCCUGGUUCUUCAGAUCCUGGUUCUUCAGGUCCUGGUUCUUCAGAUCCUGGUUCUUCAAUGUCCAUUGUGAGGCUGUUCCUCCACCUGCUGGUCGCGAGUCCGUACUGCGUCUCCACU
Molecule: long non-coding RNA, 810 nt
Organism: Sphaeramia orbicularis (orbiculate cardinalfish)
Lineage: Eukaryota; Metazoa; Chordata; Actinopteri; Kurtiformes; Apogonidae
Exons: 4
Source: RefSeq, a predicted model, not a curated record